UGUUACUGAACCUACAAGUCUUCUCCUCA
RNAcentral lists this non-coding RNA (29 nucleotides) under Rattus norvegicus (Norway rat). The record is from RNAcentral. Lineage: Eukaryota; Metazoa; Chordata; Mammalia; Rodentia; Muridae.